CAUAGUUAGCAUUGUUAUAGUGAAUGCAACCACACAGAAAAAUAAGAAAAUUUGACCUAUUUAUCUAAGAAUGAAGUCAUAUGCAAUUAUAUAAAGAAAACAACUCUACAGAGCUUACUAAUAUGUAUGAAAAUAAGGAUAGGCUAUUUCUGCUCAUAUCAGUAGGUUUGCAAUAAGUAUAUAUCCGUUAUUUACCAAAUCAAUUUUUAAAUGAAUAGAUUAAAAUAAAUUUGUUAGGAACUACUCUUCUACAUAGAAGUAAAACAUUUGUAGCUGAUUUGGUUGGAUGCUAUUCUUUUUUCAAAUGUUAAAAAUUGGUUUAACAGGAAAAAAAUAAUGAUCUACUGUACAAAAUCUAUAAAAAAUAAACUGGCAAACAUAUUUCAAAUAUAUAGUUCAUAGUGAAGAAAACUUAGAAUACAAGAAGAAAGCAUUGAGAAUAAUUUUAAGGCCAUCAGCUUGACUUUAGAGAAGACAUAAUUUCGGAUUUUUUAUCUUUCAGCCAGCUACUAAAAUGAACAAUAUAAUUUAGGUGAUGAAAUUAGUACUUUCUGACAUAUAUGUGGUUUUAUAUUUUGAUAUUUCUUUCACUUUAUGGUAUCUUAUCUGUUCUGUAUAUCACACAAUUCUGCAGGUGAGAUGCAAAAAUUGAGCUCCCCUGAAUAGAGAGAAAAAGAUAAUAUUCUUUGAGAUUUUGUCAUGACUUAUGUCCUGCAGACUCAAAAUGCUUUGUGGGAUUAUAAUAUUCACCUGUGAAAUGUGCCAACUCUACUGGGCAUGACAUCUAUGUUGUCAGAGAGGAUUUGACACAACUCCCAACUCACACAUUCC
This 831-nucleotide long non-coding RNA is filed under the name Marmota monax (woodchuck). The record is from RNAcentral. Lineage: Eukaryota; Metazoa; Chordata; Mammalia; Rodentia; Sciuridae.